UAGAAAGGGUUGCCACCUGUUUCGGCACUUUUUUUCGGCACUUCGAUUUCGUCGUUUUCGGCACUGAUUUUCAUUCUGCAACACACACCACCAAAAAUGGUCAAGUUCUGAACUAUGGUUCAUGGGG
Molecule: long non-coding RNA, 127 nt
Organism: Daphnia pulicaria
Lineage: Eukaryota; Metazoa; Arthropoda; Branchiopoda; Diplostraca; Daphniidae
Exons: 2
Source: RefSeq, a predicted model, not a curated record